Long non-coding RNA from Ipomoea nil (Japanese morning glory), 208 nucleotides. RefSeq lists it as uncharacterized. The transcript is spliced from 2 exons. The record is from RefSeq and is a predicted model, not a curated record. Lineage: Eukaryota; Viridiplantae; Streptophyta; Magnoliopsida; Solanales; Convolvulaceae.
UACAGAAUUGUUCCAUUGCUUUACUCUGUAGUUUACAUUUUAUUUUUACCAGUGUUGCCCUGUUCUGGAAAUUUUGGUAUGCAGUAAAAGGUCAAAUAAAAGGUUAAAACUUUAGUAUUAAGCUGAGCUGAUUAAAUGCUAUGAAUAGUUUUACUGGGUGGUGUUGGGCAUGUAAUCAAGAUCAACUGAAGUAAGAUAUGAGAUGAAA